Molecule: non-coding RNA, 840 nt
Organism: Drosophila virilis
Lineage: Eukaryota; Metazoa; Arthropoda; Insecta; Diptera; Drosophilidae
Source: RefSeq, a predicted model, not a curated record
UUCAACACUCGUUAAACGCACCGUGACAACACUUAAAAAUUGUUAUCAAUCAAUUACAAUAACAACACUGGAAACUGAAAAACAACAAAAAAAAAGCUCUAAAGUAUAUUUCCUUUAUGUGUUGCUUCUUCCAACCGCAUUGCGAUUAGUUUGCGCUUAAUUGCCAGCCACAGCAGUUCUUCGUGUUUAUCUGCUCUUUGCCUAUUUAUGACGAGCACCGUUUUGCGGCUCAUUUGAAUCAAGUGUGGCAAAUUUGAAGACAACGACAACAACAACAAGAACAACAACAGCAGCACCGGCCACCGCCUACGUCUGCGCCGCCCACUCAGCAGCUGUUCAAAGAGUUGUGUGCGCUCUCUGUUAUUUAAACGAGAGUGGUGGAGAUGUGGCCAAUGGGACUUUCGGCUUUCUGGGCAUAGCGUUAAAGAGGAGUUGAAACGUAAACAAAAAAAAAGUUUACCAGACAGUUUCCAUUUGGCUGAGCUUUUUUUGACAGCUGGAGGCUGCGACUUUUUUUCAUAUGUAUAAGAAACAUUCCAAUUGGAUACGUUCACCUGCAGCUCCAGGCCCUUUUACACCCUGUAUUGCGGCACAACAAAUUGCGUAUCAUACACAAAUCUGUUCGCACACACAUAAAAUGUAUGUAUUUACCAAGUGGCCGCUGUGUAUAUUCCAAAGAAUCGCCAAGAAUAUUCGAAAAUAAUCAAGCGAGCAAACAGAAACAGAAGCAAAAAGUUGAAAUGAAACCAUGAAAAAUCAAAAACACACGCUAAACCAAAGGCAAAACGAUGGCUAGUAAAAUACAAAUAAUAAAGAGAAACUGAAAUUUUCCGAACCAAC